This is a non-coding RNA of Callithrix jacchus (white-tufted-ear marmoset), 6648 nucleotides long. Lineage: Eukaryota; Metazoa; Chordata; Mammalia; Primates; Cebidae. The record is from RefSeq and is a predicted model, not a curated record.
ACCAAUUUCACGAUAGGCUACUUGAUAUAAACAAGAGUUAAAUUCUUGUGCAUAUCUCGGUCACAAAAACAUCACCAAACUUCCAAAUAAAGGCCAAAACACUUCUAAUGUUAAACAUUGAAAUAAAAGUGAGCUAGAUAUACACUUGAGAAAGAUUAAUAAAAACAAGUAAAAUCAUCUAACCAAUUUUUCCAGUUCAGGAUUGCGGGUGGCCAGAGCUCAGGGCUCAAGGAGGGAAGUAACCUUGGACAGGAUACCCUUCUAUCUCAGGAUGCACUCACACUCACACCCACACUCACUCAUACUGGGAAUAUUUAGACAUGUGCACAGCUUAGACACAACCUAGCAAGCACAGCUGUGGGAUGUGGGAGGAAACCAGAGUACCCGGAGAAAACCCACACAGACCGUGGGGAGAAUGUGCAAACUCCACACAGACAGUGGCCAUGGCCUGGAAUUGAUUUUUUUUCUCAUCACCAUUAUGACAGAGUGACGUUGAACCAAACGGCGUUGAGGACCUGCUGUACUUGAAUAGAGUUUGAAGAGCCCGAUUAUUAACUGUACACUUCCGUUAGAUAAUGUGACUUUGUCUCUUCAGGAAAACAUUCAUGUGAUUUAAAUUUAUACAAAUCAGCAUUAUAUGAAAUGAUUUUAUUAUAAUUCUCCCAGUGUCACAGAAGCAAUGACUUUUAAAUACCUUUAAAUGGCCAUUAGAAUACAAGUAUUUUGCCAGAUAUAGAAGAAGGUGAAUGUAUAACAGAAAGAAAACAGCAAGAACCUAACAACAUGGAGUCAAGAAAAUGCAGAGAGUGUUCAAAUACUUUGAGUUUGACAAGACAGUGUUGUAGGGAGCUGAGAUCUGAAAAAACAGGUUGGUAAUGGACUAUAAAAGGGCUUAUCUGCAAUUCUAACAAUGUUUCCAUUUAAAGCUAUAGGCCACUGGGUGCAUUGGUGGUUUUAAAGCAAGUACCAUUGAAGCAACAAUUUAUAUGCCUCAAAGCACAAAUAGGAAUUUAUGUAUUUAAUUUUUUGAACUACCUUGAUCAGUGUUCUAACCUUGGCUACAAAUGAGAAUCACCUACAGAGCGUUAAAAACAAACAACAAAACACACACACACACACACACACACACACACACACACAAUCCCAGGGCUCCAAUCCCUGUUUUAGUUGGUUAUAACGGAGGGGGACUUGGGAUCUACAAUUCUUAAAAGCUCUCCAGAGAAUACUAAUAAGCAUAGAGGAUUAAGAACCACUGAUCCAGGUAAUUUAUUUUUACUUACUACUUUAAUAUUUCAGGCAAAAGUAAGUUCUGUACUUAUUUAUCUGGAGUACUAGCCCAACUCACAAUUAGGCCAGAAUAUUGAUACCUUAGACAAUUUCAUGAUCUCUAUUAAUGUGAAGUGAUACUGAUACUUUUAAAUAAUUUUUACGUGGCACAAAAUUGUCUGUGAGUGCCAUCUCCAAGAUGUGGUUGCAGGGCAAAGCUUAAAUAUGGAUUAAUCUUCUUUCUUAGACUAGUUUUUAAUUUGAAUUAGCUGCCACCAGGUAGAAUUAGAGUUCUGUUGCCUCAGGUGUCUGGACAAAUAAAUGAAAUAAGCUGGCAAAUCAAAUUCCUCAGUCCAUAGACUAAGCAACUCUUAGUAUGGCAGUUAAAUUAGAGCUAGUAUCUAGAAGAGAUAAUAAAGGAAAUAAACUGGAGAGCAACAAUUAAAUAAAUAAUAAUUAAACAUAAAGCUUUCUAACAGAAGACUAACAUAAUGGUAUUUAAGCUAACCCUGCUAUUUUCCUAGAACAUUUAGAAUAAAUUCUGAAGCUCCAAGAAGCUCAGAUCCCAUCACCAAAAUAUGACUCAGCUGUCCUGCCCACAGACUGAAGUUACCAAUAAAGCACUCUCCCCUCCCUACCUUUUUUUAUAACAAGUUCCUAAGAAUCUUCAGAAAUAACUCUUUUCUGGCUUUUCUCUCCUCAGAGACUUUAAGAAAAGCUCCUUUUCUAUUCCUGAUCUAGUUAUCUCUUCUGUGUACAAUCUGAAAAAAAAAGUCUAUAGAGUACUACAUCUCUCCUUUCAGUCCUGUGACCUUCGACUUCCAUCAUGAAUUUUCUCCCUCUUCCUCAUUCUCCCUUUCCUUUUCUGGGAUUUACUGAAAUUCAUUUCCUUAAAUCCACAGAGAAACAGAAGCAGUUUUGCAAGUUGCUGCAAUAUCCUGAAAGAGGCAUUUUAAAAUGCUUUUAUUUAUGAACUCAGUCUAUUUGUUGUUUUGCUUGUUUUAAAACAUAUUUUAAAUAAAACCAACAUAGAAAAUUUCUUAAACACACAGAAUUUUCAGCAGUCAUUUUGGUAAACAACAUAAACCAUAUAAUUUGGCACGUAUGUAAAUAUAUGUUAUGCUUCUAUGUAUUACAAAUGCGUAUGCGCUCAUAUGUAAUUUUUUAAAAAAAGCAAGCAAGGACUGGUUGAUGUAACCAAUUUCCACAUCACUUUUCAUUAUCUAGAUUUCAGGAUAUAUACCAUACGUACAGUUAGGUGACCAGUUUUCAACCAUAAAGCUUAAAUUGGUAAGUAAUUUUAUUCCCAUAAGCCAUUUUCAGGUUGUCUUUUACUAUCAAAAUGUGCAUAUACAUUCUACUUCUCUCUAUUUCCCUGUUCAGAUUUUUUAAUUAAAAUUACCAAAUAAAGUUUAUCUGUAUUUUACAAACCUAAAAGAUCCAUCAGAACAAAGUACAUUGUCCUGGUUGAGUGUGGUGGCUCAAGCCUGUAAUCCCAGCACUUUGGGAAGCCAAGGAUCACUUGAAGCUAGAAGUUCAAGACCAGUUGGGGUAACAUAGCAAGAUCUUGUCUCAGAAAAUAUUCUUAAAAGUAGCCAGGUGUUGGCAUUGUGAUGUACUCCAGUGAUGGGGUCACCCACAUUGUGCCCAUCUAUGAGGGGUAUGCCCUCCCCCACACCAUCCUGCAUCUGGACCUGGCUGGCUGGGACCUUACUACUUCAUGAAGAUCCUCACCAAGCUACUGCUUCACCACCAUGGCUGAGCGGGAAAUCAUGUGUGACGUCAAGGAGAAGCUAUGCUACCUUGCCCUGGAUUUCAAGCAGGAGAUGGCCAUGGCAGCCUCCAGCUACUCCCUGGAGAAGAGCUAUGAGCUGCCCCAUGGCCAGGUCAUCACCAUUUGCAACAAGCAGUUCCACUGCCCUGAGGCACUCUUCCUGCCUUCCUUCCUAGACAUGGAAUCUUGUGAAUCUCUGCAUCCAUGAAACAACCUUCAACUCCAUCAUGAAGUGUGAUGUGGACAUCCGCAAAGACCUGUAUGCCAACACAGUGCUGUCUAGUGGUACCAUCAUAUACCCUGGCAUCACCAAAAUCAUGCAAAAAGAGAUCAUCGCCCUGGUGCCCAGCACAACGAAGAUCAAGAUCAUUGCUCCUCUGAGCGCAAGUACUCCGUGUGGAUGGGCGGCUUCAUCCUGGCCUCGCUGUCCCCAUUCCAGCAGAUGUGGAUCAGCAAGCAGGAGUACCACGAGUCCAGCCCCUCUGUCAUCUACUGCAAAUGCUUCUAGGCAGACUGUGAUUUAGUUGCGUUACACCCUUUCUUGACGAAACCUAACUUGGGAAGAAAACGAGAUUGGCGUGGCUUUAUUUGUUUUUUGGUUGUUUGGGGUUUUUGUUUUUGUUUUUGGGUUGACUCAGGAUUUAAAAACUGGGACGGUAAAGGUGACAGCAGUCACUUGGAGCAAGCAUCCCUCAGAGUUCUAUGAUGAGGCCCAGGACUUUGAUUGUACAUUGUUCUUUUUUAAAAUAGUCAUUCCAAAUACCGCGAGAUGCAUUGUUACAGGAAGUCCCUUGCCCUUCCAAAAGCCACCCCACUUCUCUCUAAGGAGAAUGGCCCAGUCCUCUCCCAAGGCCACACAGGGGAGGUAAUAGCAUCGCUGUUGUGUAAAUUAUGUAAUGAAAAAUUUUUUAAAUUAUGCCUUAAUACUUUAUUUUGUUUUAUUUGGAAAGAUUUUAGCCUCUGUGGCUACCCCUUUUUUAUCCCUCAACUUGAGAUGUAUGAAGGCUUUUGGUUUCCCUGGGAGUGGGUGGAGGCAGCCAGGGCUUACCUGUACACUGGCUUGAAUAGUUGAAUAAAAGUGAACACUAGUUGAAUAAAAGUACAUACCUUAAAAAUGAAAAAAAAAAAUAGCCAGGUGUUGGUGGCACAUACUUGUAGUCCCAGCUACUCAGCUGAGGUGUGAGGAUCUCUAGAGCCCAGUCAUUCAAGGCUGUAGUGAGUUAUGGUCACACCACUCCAGCCUGUAUGAUACAGCAAGGCCCUGUCUCUAAAAAAUGAAAAUAUAUACAUUAUGUUUUAAAAAAUAUACUCUCCUGAAUUGUUCUUUGCAAAUUCUUAAAUAGCAUACUAUAUUACUUGCUUUAAAUAAUACAUAUUACCAUGAAUGUAUAUUACCAAAGAAAAUAAACAUUUGUACUUAGGUUUAACUACAAUGGUAAUCAUAGACAUCUACAGCAUUAUUUUUUUUUAGAGCAGGAUUCUAAAUAGAAUAUUCAGAAACAAAGUUAAUUUGUACUUGUUUUCUGCAUUCAAAAUAAUAAUUAGGAUAUGUUUCUCCCAACAGGGUAAAAAAAAAAGCAUGUAACUAUGCAUUUUUGUAUUCUUUUGCUUGCUUAGAACCUUCCAAAAGGCUAAUAAUAUUUUUUUUAAUUUUGUUGAUACACACACACAGCAUAUCUGUAAGGAGCAUAUAAACAGACAGAGAGCAUACGAGAGAGAAAGAACUUAUUUUUCAAUCAAUUUUCACCAAAUAUUUUCAUCAACUUCUGUGGGAAUUCUACUUAAAGAUGAACAGAAGAUAUAACCCUUAGUCAGUAAGCAUGAUUAUAUGAGAUAGGAAAUGCUGUUUCUAUGCCCCGUUUUAGCUUUGGCUUUACUUUUUUCCUCCCUCCAGAUCUAAACUGGUUAAGCAAAGUAAAGUGCAGAAUUAUGGCAAACUAAGCUCUUGUUUCCUUAUAUUAUGUGUAUUUUUUUUUUUAGAUAAAAGACUUACUUAGGGGGAUUUUGAUGUUAGUAGUUUUUGAGUCUGGGAAAAAUUGUUCUCCUACUGCAGAUUUAUAACUCUAGUCUGAGACUUCUAAAUGCCUUAUGCCAACAUUGUAAAUUUUAUUGUGAUGCUGUUACGUUACAGUUUAAGGCAUAAUUUUUUUAAAAGCAUUUCAUCUUGUAGUUUGGGAUAAUAGUUAUAAAGCUAGUCUCUAUAGAAACCAUUUUAACUUAUGAUCUUAGAACGUCGGGUAAUAAUGCAGAGGAUUAUUGGCCCAAACUUUUUUUAAAUGAGAAAUAUUUUACUGAAUUGACUCUUUCUAAACACAAGUCUGGAGAGGAACGUGUGCUCUUAAGAUGACUACCUUUUAAUCAGAGAUUAUCACUUUCCAUUUCCAUUAGUCUCUCUUUCUUUGGCAUGUGAUGUAUGCUAAAUUAAAUAGGAUUUAUUGGUUCAGCUAGAUUCUGAAUUACCCUCUUUUCCUGUGGAUUAGGAGAGUGCAUUUUUAGCCCUUUUCCUUGAAAUCCAUCAGGAUCUUUUAUGUGGACUAUCUAGUAUUCUGCACGCUUCCAAUGCUUAAUAAAUAUUACAUUACAAUAUUAGCAUAAUAAUAAAUCAUCUUAAAGUACUACAUGGGCUAUUGAGAUCCCAUUCAGUUUGAGCCGAGACAUCAAAAAGUUUUAUUUUCUCUAUAUGCAUGCAAAAUAAUUUAAAACUUCCCUUCCAUGAAAUGUCCUUGCAUCCAUAAGUCUACAUGUUACAAAGUGAAGUGGUAAAGUGUGUAUCUUCCAGUUAUGUAUUUAACUUGUUCGAUAUAUUCUGGGCCUGAAUUUGCCAUUUUAAUAAGAGACAGUUUAAAAUUGGGCAGACAAAAUGGAAAUUGCACCAUUUGUCAAGUAAAUGUUAGUUUCCCAAUGGCAAUUCUGAAAUUUUUAUACAAGAUUACUAGGCCAGAAGCUAGAUAGUGUUUCUUGCCAUUAAGAAGUUCUGCUUUGUCUAUGAUUGGUCAUGUCACACAGACCUAGAGUAACAGCCACUGAAAACAUGAGGAUUUUCCUUACAGUUACAGAAACAAAAAUGAAGUAGAAAAUGAUUUUAUUAACACAAUUUCAUCCUCACUGGUUGCUUUAAGGAAGGUCCUAGUUUGAAACUGCCAUCAAGGAAAAGAAUGAAAAUAUUUUCCUUUCCAAAGGUAGUGUUCAAAUGUUGUACAUUUUAUCUACCUAUAUAUAAAAAGGAUACAUUAUCUGCAGUAGAUAGCAAAAAUGGCCAAAAUUACCUCCUUACGGUGUAAUUUUGCAGUUAGUCCCCCUCCCUAUCAAUAGAUAGAGUUGUGUUUUUUUACCCUUUAAAUCUGAACUGAUGUUGUGACUUGCGUUGGCUAACAGAAUGUGGCAAAAUGCUGUACCAAUUUUGAGCCAUGCCUCAAGUGGUCUUCAAGCAUACCUCGAGGAAUGCUGUCCAGUUGCCAUGGCAAGACUUGUCUGCCUAAUGGCAGGCUUGUCUGCAGGCAGCUGCCUAUAGAUGCAUGAAGAAGCCCAACUGAGACUAGAAGAACUGUGGCCCAAAGCCCAGCCUAAACUGCCAGAGGUUCUUGUAAGUCCUCACAUUUUGAGGUGGU